This 206-nucleotide ribosomal RNA is filed under the name uncultured bacterium. RNAcentral describes it as "partial 16S ribosomal RNA". It matches the Rfam family "Bacterial small subunit ribosomal RNA", at positions 568 to 774 of the family's 1533-position model. The record is from RNAcentral.
CUCGUAGGCGGCCAACUAAGUCAGACGUGAAAUCCCUCAGCUUAACUGGGGAACUGCGUCUGAUACUGGAUGGCUUGGAUUCGGGAGAGGAAUGCGGAAUUCCAGGUGUAGCGGUGAAGUGCGUAGAUAUCUGGAGGAACACCGGUGGCGAAGGCGGCAUUCUGGACCGAUAUUGACGCUGAGGAGCGAAAGCCAGGGAGCAAACG